ACUGGACCUAUGCAAAGAGAUAAAGCGAAGUGAACCAAAUAUGUGUGACAUCAGUGUAAAGAGGGGAUUCUUUGCUUGUGUUAAUGACUUUAAAUCUGGCUCUUGCUUCAUUCAUCCAUUCAAACCCUCUGCUCAUCAUGUGGAGUCCUUCACUGUUGCUCAGGAAGAACCAGAGAUGGUGUCCGAACCUGUAAUGGAAAGCUCAGUGAAUGUGUCUGCAGGA
Long non-coding RNA from Alosa sapidissima (American shad), 223 nucleotides. RefSeq lists it as uncharacterized. Lineage: Eukaryota; Metazoa; Chordata; Actinopteri; Clupeiformes; Clupeidae. The record is from RefSeq and is a predicted model, not a curated record. The transcript has 2 exons.